RNAcentral lists this ribosomal RNA (433 nucleotides) under uncultured bacterium. RNAcentral's name for it is "partial 16S ribosomal RNA". It matches the Rfam family "Bacterial small subunit ribosomal RNA", at positions 29 to 507 of the family's 1533-position model. The record is from RNAcentral.
AACGAACGCUGGCGGCAUGCCUAACACAUGCAAGUCGAACGAGACCUUCGGGUCUAGUGGCGCACGGGUGCGUAACGCGGGGGAACCUGCCCUUAGGUUCGGAAUAACUCCCCGAAAGGGGUGCUAAUACCGGAUAAUGUCUUCGGACCAAAGAUUUAUCGCCUUUGGAUGGGCCCGCGUUGGAUUAGCUAGUUGGUAGGGUAAAAGCCUACCAAGGCGACGAUCCAUAGCUGGUCUGAGAGGAUGAUCAGCCACACUGGGACUGAGACACGGCCCAGACUCCUACGGGAGGCAGCAGUGGGGAAUAUUGGACGAUGGGCGAAAGCCUGAUCCAGCAAUGCCGCGUGAGUGAUGAAGGCCUUAGGGUUGUAAAGCUCUUUUACCCGGGAUGAUAAUGACAGUAACGGGAGAAUAAGCUCCGGCUAACUCAGUG